GGAGUUAGCCGGUGCUUCUUCUGCGAGUAACGUCACAGAUGUAAGGUAUUAACUUACACCCUUUCCUCCUCGCUGAAAGUGCUUUACAACCCGAAGGCCUUCUUCACACACGCGGCAUGGCUGCAUCAGGGUUUCCCCCAUUGUGCAAUAUUCCCCACUGCUGCCUCCCGUAGGAGUCUGGGCCGUGUCUCAGUCCCAGUGUGGCUGAUCAUCCUCUCAGACCAGCUAGGGAUCGUCGCCUAGGUGAGCCUUUACCUCACCUACUAGCUAAUCCCACCUGGGCUUAUCCAUCAGCGCAAGGCCCGAAGGUCCCCUGCUUUCCCCCGUAGGGCGUAUGCGGUAUUAGCAGUCGUUUCCAACUGUUAUCCCCCACAAAUGGGCAAAUUCCCAGGCAUUACUCACCCGUCCGCCGCUCGUCAUCUUCAAAAGCAAGCUUUUGAAAUGUUACCGCUCGACUUGCAUGUGUUAGGCCUGCCGCCAGCGUUCAAUCUGAGCCAUGAUUAAACUCUGA
RNAcentral lists this ribosomal RNA (511 nucleotides) under uncultured bacterium. RNAcentral describes it as "partial 16S ribosomal RNA". The record is from RNAcentral.